Molecule: ribosomal RNA, 433 nt
Filed under: uncultured bacterium
Lineage: Bacteria
Description: partial 16S ribosomal RNA
Rfam family: Bacterial small subunit ribosomal RNA
Source: RNAcentral
AACGAACGCUGGCGGCAGGCCUAACACAUGCAAGUCGAACGAGACCUUCGGGUCUAGUGGCGCACGGGUGCGUAACGCGUGGGAACCUGCCCUUAGGUUCGGAAUAACUCCCCGACAGGGGUGCUAAUACCGGAUAAUUUAUUCGGACCAAAGAUUUAUCGCCUUUGGGGGGGCCCGCGUUGUAUUAGCUUGUUGGUAGGGUAAAAGCCUACCAAGGCGACGAUCGAUAGCUGGUCUGAGAGGAUGAUCAGCCACACUGGGACUGAGACACGGCCCAGACUCCUACGGGAGGCAGCAGUGGGGAAUAUUGGAAAAUGGGCGAAAGCCUGAUCCAGCAAUGCCGCGUGAGUGAUGAAGGCCUUAGGGUUGUAAAGCUCUUUUACCCGGGAUGAUAAUGACAGUACCGGGAGAAUAAGCUCCGGCUAACUUCGUG